Molecule: unclassified non-coding RNA, 306 nt
Filed under: plant metagenome
Description: partial contains 5.8S ribosomal RNA, internal transcribed spacer 2, and large subunit ribosomal RNA
Rfam family: 5.8S ribosomal RNA (bases 1-105)
Source: RNAcentral
GAAAUGCGAUAAGUAAUGUGAAUUGCAGAAUUCAGUGAAUCAUCGAAUCUUUGAACGCAAAUUGCGCCCGCCAGUAUUCUGGCGGGCAUGCCUGUCCGAGCGUCAUUUCAACCAUCAAGCCCCCGGGCUUGUGUUGGGGACCUGCGGCUGCCCGCAGGCCCUGAAAACCAGUGGCGGGCUCGCUGUCACACCGAGCGUAGUAGCAAUCACCUCGCUCAGGGCGUGCUGCGGGUUCCGGCCGUUAAACAGCCUUACAAAACCCAAGGUUGACCUCGGAUCAGGUAGGAAGACCCGCUGAACUUAAGC